UGCUCCUUUAACUCAGUGGUUAGAGUUCGGUUCUUAUACAGCCGCGGUCCUUGGUUCGAAUCCAAGAAGGAGUAU
This 75-nucleotide transfer RNA is filed under the name compost metagenome. Its description in RNAcentral is "tRNA-Ile". It matches the Rfam family "tRNA". Rfam says of the family: Transfer RNA (tRNA) molecules are approximately 80 nucleotides in length. Their secondary structure includes four short double-helical elements and three loops (D, anti-codon, and T loops). Further hydrogen bonds mediate the characteristic L-shaped molecular structure. tRNAs have two regions of fundamental functional importance: the anti-codon, which is responsible for specific mRNA codon recognition, and the 3' end, to which the tRNAs corresponding amino acid is attached (by aminoacyl-tRNA synthetases). tRNAs cope with the degeneracy of the genetic code in two manners: having more than one tRNA (with a specific anti-codon) for a particular amino acid; and 'wobble' base-pairing, i.e. permitting non-standard base-pairing at the 3rd anti-codon position. The record is from RNAcentral.